Molecule: small nuclear RNA, 107 nt
Filed under: Schistocerca americana (American grasshopper)
Lineage: Eukaryota; Metazoa; Arthropoda; Insecta; Orthoptera; Acrididae
Source: RNAcentral
GUACUCGCUUCGGCGGUACAUAUACUAAAAUUGGAACGAUACAGAGAUGAUUAGCAUGGCCCCUGUGGAAGGAUGACACGCAAAAUCGUGAAGCGUUCCACAUUUUU